RNAcentral lists this ribosomal RNA (261 nucleotides) under uncultured bacterium. RNAcentral's name for it is "partial 16S ribosomal RNA". It matches the Rfam family "Bacterial small subunit ribosomal RNA", at positions 513 to 773 of the family's 1533-position model. The record is from RNAcentral.
AGCCGCGGUAAUACGUAGGCAGCGAGCGUUGUUCGGAGUUACUGGGCGUAAAGAGUGCGUAGGCGGUGCUCUAAGUCUGGUGUGAAAUCUCCCGGCUCAACUGGGAGGGUGCGCCGGAAACUGGAGUGCUCGAGUGUGGGAGAGGCAGGCGGAAUUCCUGGUGUAGCGGUGAAAUGCGUAGAUAUCAGGAGGAACACCUGUGGUGUAGGCAGCUUGCUGGACCACCACUGACGCUGAGGCACGAAAGCGUGGGGAGCAAAC